AUUGAACGCUGGCGGCAUGCCUUACACAUGCAAGUCGAACGGCAGCGCGGGGCAACCUGGCGGCGAGUGGCGAACGGGUGAGUAAUAUAUCGGAACAUACCCUAGAGUGGGGGAUAACGUAGCGAAAGUUACGCUAAUACCGCAUACGCACUAAGGUGGAAAGUGGGGGAUUCGCAAGAACCUCAUGCUCAUGGAGUGGCCGAUAUCUGAUUAGCUAGUUGGUGAGGUAAAGGCUCACCAAGGCAACGAUCAGUAGCUGGUUUGAGAGGAUGAUCAGUCACACUGGAACUGAGACACGGUCCAGACUCCUACGGGAGGCAGCAGUGGGGAAUAUUGGACAAUGGGCGAAAGCCUGAUCCAGCAAUGCCGCGUGAGUGAUGAAGGCCUUAGGGUUGUAAAGCUCUUUUACCCGGGAUGAUAAUGACAGUACCGGGAGAAUAAGCCCCGGCUAACUCCGUGCCAGCAGCCGCGGUAAU
RNAcentral lists this ribosomal RNA (476 nucleotides) under uncultured bacterium. RNAcentral describes it as "bacterial SSU rRNA". It matches the Rfam family "Bacterial small subunit ribosomal RNA", at positions 30 to 524 of the family's 1533-position model. The record is from RNAcentral.